RNAcentral lists this long non-coding RNA (335 nucleotides) under Mytilus galloprovincialis (Mediterranean mussel). The record is from RNAcentral. Lineage: Eukaryota; Metazoa; Mollusca; Bivalvia; Mytilida; Mytilidae.
GGGUCAUUAGGAUGUUUAAAAUCUUUGAUGAGCAAUCGUGGAUAUAUAUAUUUAAGAAACGGUUUUGUGUAUCAAACUAGUUAUAACAAGUGUGGUGCUGCUUUGGUACACAUGGAUGACAUAUCAUGAAUUCGUUGCAAUGAUAAAAAAAGUAUCAAAUAUGACAAAAAUUAAAUGAAUGUGUAUAGACGCAUGGAAAAAAGAGAAAUGGAAGCCAAGUUUAAUUACAGUUUAAAAACAUGGACGACAACGGUCAUGUAAACGCUUAAUAAAAUUCAGUGCAGCCGAGAGUGAUUACGGGUGGGCCUUCAUCGGGUACACAAUAUUGGUAAAAU